This 381-nucleotide ribosomal RNA is filed under the name uncultured bacterium. RNAcentral's name for it is "bacterial SSU rRNA". It matches the Rfam family "Bacterial small subunit ribosomal RNA", at positions 32 to 394 of the family's 1533-position model. The record is from RNAcentral.
AAUCAACGCUGGCGGCGUGCCUCAGACAUGCAAGUCGAACGAGAACCUCCCUUCGGGGAGGGGACAGUGGCGCACGGGUGAGUAACACGUGGGUAAUUUACCUUUGGGUGGGGAACAACAGCCGGAAACGGCUGCUAAUACCGCAUAAUGCAGCGGCUCGACAUCGAGACAGUUGUUAAAGCGGGGGAUCGCAAGACCUCGCGCCUGAAGAGAAGCCUGCGGCGGANAGUCUAGUUGGUAGGGUAAUGGCCUACCAAGGCGACGAUCUGUAACCGGCCUGAGAGGGCGGUCGGUCACACUGACACUGACAUACGGGUCAGACUCCUACGGGGAGGCAGCAGUCGGGAAUUUUGGGCAAUGGGCGAAAGCCUGACCCAGCAA